RNAcentral lists this ribosomal RNA (255 nucleotides) under uncultured bacterium. RNAcentral describes it as "partial 16S ribosomal RNA". It matches the Rfam family "Bacterial small subunit ribosomal RNA", at positions 524 to 776 of the family's 1533-position model. The record is from RNAcentral.
UACGUAGGGGGGCAAGCGUUGUCCGGAAUCAUUGGGCGUAAAGAGCGUGUAGGCGGCCCGGUAAGUCCGCUGUGAAAGUCCAGGGCUCAACCCUGGGAUGCCGGUGGAUACUGUCGGGCUCGAGUCCGGAAGAGGAGUGUGGAAUUCCUGGUGUAGCGGUGAAAUGCGCAGAUAUCAGGAGGAACACCAAUGGCGAAGGCAGCACUCUGGGGACGUGACUGACGCUGAGACGCGAAAGCGUGGGGAGCAAACAGG